AACGAACGCUGGCGGCAUGCCUAACACAUGCAAGUCGAACGAGACCUUCGGGUCUAGUGGCGCACGGGUGCGUAACGCGUGGGAACCUGCCCUUAGGUUCGGAAUAACUCCCCGAAAGGGGUGCUAAUACCGGAUAAUGUCUUCGGACCAAAGAUUUAUCGCCUUUGGAUGGGCCCGCGUUGGAUUAGCUAGUUGGUAGGGAAAAAGCCUACCAAGGCGACGAUCCAUAGCUGGUCUGAGAGGAUGAUCAGCCACACUGGGACUGAGACACGGCCCAGACUCCUACGGGAGGCAGCAGUGGGGAAUAUUGGACAAUGGGCGAAAGACUGAUCCAGCAAUGCCGCGUGAGUGAUGAAGGCCUUAGGGUUGUAAAGCUCUUUUAACCGGGAUGAUAAUGACAGUACCGGGAGAAUAAGCUCCGGCUAACUCCGUG
This 433-nucleotide ribosomal RNA is filed under the name uncultured bacterium. RNAcentral's name for it is "partial 16S ribosomal RNA". It matches the Rfam family "Bacterial small subunit ribosomal RNA", at positions 29 to 507 of the family's 1533-position model. The record is from RNAcentral.